Molecule: ribosomal RNA, 104 nt
Filed under: Ceratodon purpureus
Lineage: Eukaryota; Viridiplantae; Streptophyta; Bryopsida; Pseudoditrichales; Ditrichaceae
Description: partial 28S ribosomal RNA
Rfam family: Eukaryotic large subunit ribosomal RNA
Source: RNAcentral
CANACCUCUGAUCAGGGAAGACUACCCGCUGAGUUUAAGCAUAUCACUAAGCGGAGGAGAAGAAACUAACCAGGAUUUCCCUAGUAACGGCGAGCGAACCGGAA